Molecule: unclassified non-coding RNA, 2979 nt
Filed under: Leishmania donovani
Lineage: Eukaryota; Euglenozoa; Kinetoplastea; Trypanosomatida; Trypanosomatidae
Description: gene:LdHU3.20.1230(CDS-product:hypothetical_prote in_conserved)
Source: RNAcentral
UAGGUGUGCGCCAGCGCAACGUGUGAGAGACACACUAAAUCAGAGAGUGCCCUGGAAAAGGGGCCGCAGCAUCUACCUCCGCCUGGCUCUCCCCAUCUCCAUCACCGCGCCUUCGCCGUCCUCUUGCAUGGGGCGCUGUUGUGUUUCACUUGUGCAUAGACUACGUGUGGCUUGUGUGCAUGUGUGCAUGAGUGUACGCUGGAACGCAAAGAAAGCGAACCGCACCCCUGACCGUAGACAGCCAUCAACGUGCUCGAAGCGUUCGCCGUCGCGACCAUGAGGUCCGUUCAGUUCCCCAUGAUCCGCAGCUGUGGGCUAGUGCUCGCCUCCAUCGAGGCCUCUCCGCGCCGUGCGCUGUCGGGGCGUCCGAGCGUCGCGUCCCGUACGGCCGUGGUCGCUCUCUUGUGCAGUCGACGCUGGCACGCGGUGGCAGCGGCACCUAGCGCUGGAUAUGCCGCUCCUGCAGCUCGACGCCUUCCGACGGCGGCGGAGGCGGAAGCCGAACUCCAGGCAUGGGCCAGCAGCGCCGCAGGCUCAUCGACGCUUGCGCUCUCGGGGAAGUCGCUGGUGCUCUGUGUAGCAGCCCUGCAGCUGCAUGAAGCCGCAGCGGCGACACAAGACAGCAAGACGAGCAGCACCAGCUUUACAGAACUUGUACACCGCUACCUUGGUGCACUCGCCAUGCACAUCUACAAGCGCUUCAACGCACCGGGGAAGCCAAGCGCGGCGGCGGUGCUCUAUGCCGAUGUCGAGUCCGCCCACAUCCGAUCCGAGUCCUUGCAAGCCUCUGUGCAGUACCUCGCGCACAAGGCCUUUCAAAGCAGCGUUAGCAGCGCCUCUGUGCGUGAUGGCGCGGGUCAGGUCACAGGUGGGACGGCGGCCGAUCUUGCAGACACUCUGAGCGCCGAGCGCGACCUGGAACUUACGCUAGAGGCUACGCUGGCACUGCUCGCCGGUCACCAGAUCUCGCAGGUGCACCUCGCCGCCGUGGCAGCGAAGGAAGUCGGCACAGCUGCGACGGCGGCGGCCAUGGUGCCGCACGCCGAGUCCACCUGCCACUACAUCGGCAACGUCGUGGCCCUCAUCUCGAAACCUCUGCAAGCGCCACCGACAUCUUCCGCAGAGCCGGCAGCGGCAUUGUCGUUGCCCCCCGCAAAGCGCGAGUUCUGGGCGCACACGGCGAAGCGACUAACGUCGGUGCUGUACGUGGCGCUGCUUUCCGCGCAGUCGAACUUCACAGAUGCGCAGCUUAUCGGGCAGAUGUUCCGCGAUCUGCUGCGCAGGGUUUAUGGCGCGGAAGGCGGCACGUUCGGCAUGAGACGCUCGCUGCACUACACGCUGACGGUGGCGGUGCCGUACGUACUGAAGAGCUUCGCGAUGAUAUUGGAUGUCUUCCAGCAGCAGCAGCGCGCGGCAGCGGAGAGAGCGGCGGCUGCGAAGGCCGCGGCGGCAGCCGAGAAGGGAUUUGGCGCUAGCCCAAGGGCCCCUAGUAUAAGCACAAGCGCAUCAUCUACUGGCUCUCCACGGCCAAGGAAGGGGGUCUCCACCAAAGCACCUGGCUCUGCGGCGGCUGUGGGCCCAUCCUCAGAAAAAAUGCACCGGGCAACGCUGCUGGUGUUGUGUGUGGCAGCGAUGCUGUACAUUGGGUCUUCACGCAGCAACCUCUUUUCCGCAGCGACGCCAUCCUCCUCCUCUUCUCAACUGGCCACCGCCACGGUGGAGCCGGCGGCAGACAGAGAGGUCAUGCAAACAUACAAGAAGCUCUCCGCCAUGGCAGCGUGUGAGCCACGGCACCGCAGCUGACGUAAGCAGCCUGCUCGCACACGUACAAAGAUGCGGGGACACACCUCCACGGUAAGCAGGGGGGAGCGUGUUCUCUCUGCCGCACUCCCCUCCGACCCCGUUGCGCAUUAGAGCAGCCCUUUGGGCCCCAUCAGCGGCGCUUGCCAUUGCACAGUGAGUUGGGGGAGGCGGUGGGAUGUGGUGGAGGUGGUUGUGUCUGUGCGCGUGUGUUGCCUUUUCUCUUUGCGAUGGUUGGACGCGUGUGUAGAGAGGCUGCCGGCUGAGUCUUGAUGUGCAGCCGGGAGAGAGGAAGCGCGGUUCCGCCAGAGCGCACAGCCUCGACUCACUCCUAAUACAGCAGCAUUAACGCAUGCACUAACAAAACAAUGAAGCCGGCUCUUCCGCAACGGCGGGUGCUCUGUGUCUGUGUGUGCCUAUGCGCCCGUCUCGGUCUCGACGUAGAAGUGUAUGUGUCUGUCGGUGUGUCUUCAGCGCCACCACUGACCCGCCCACCCCCUCCUCCUCCUGCUCCUCACCGCAGGCGAGGUGAGAGGCAAAGCGGACGCAGACACAGCAAGAGAGGGCGAGCCACGCCGACGCAUGCGCGCGCGCACACCCACACACGUCGAGAGCACGUCCAUUCUCAUCCUUGUGCCGGGUAUGUAUGUGUGUGUGUGUGUGUGUGUGUGUGUGUGUGUGUGUGUGUGUGUGUGUGUGUGUGUGUGUGUGUGUGAUAACAACGACGGAGAGUUCACCGCUCUACCGCUGGCCACGAAGGCAAAAUUAAAAGGACGAAGCAAAGAAGGAAGAGAAAGAAAGAGAGGGGGAGGAGGACGGGCGCACAGUGCGAAUUACUUCGGAAACGGCAGCUCAAAUGCCGGCAGCCAGAUACCCCUCGAACGCCCCGCAAUCUCUCGAUGGUUCAUAAGGCGAAGGAUACGGCGAGAGCAGCGCCGUUGCCCGACAUUGAGCGAGGCACGUGCGAAAACUGGCUUCCGUUCACACAUCUCUCUCUCUCGCGCGUCGUCGGUGCAGUUCUGAGGCGAUGAUGCGGAUGCAAGAUUGCUCGACGCUCUUUCUCCCCAUUCCGACCGCCACCAACGUCUGCACCUCUUCUUUACUUUCUCUAUAUCCCUUGGCCCUGGAAUCUCGCCCCGACCCGCUGUGGGCCGGCCGCGUCCUACAUCGAUUGCUCAG